AGUGAACACUGGCGGUAGGCCUAACACAUGCAAGUCGAACGGCCGCACAGUAAGCGCUUGCUCUUACGGGUGGCGAGUGGCGGACGGGUGAGGCAUACAUCGGAAUCUACUUUUUCGUGGGGGAUAACGUAGGGAAACUUACGCUAAUACCGCAUACGACCUACGGGUGAAAGCAGGGGAUCUUCGGACCUUGCGUGAUUGAAUGAGCCGACGUCGGAUUAGCUAGUUGGCGGGGUAAAGGCCCACCAAGGCGACGAUCCGUAGCUGGUCUGAGAGGAUGAUCAGCCACACUGGAACUGAGACACGGUCCAGACUCCUACGGGAGGCAGCAGUGGGGAAUAUUGGACAAUGGGCGCAAGCCUGAUCCAGCCAUACCGCGUGGGUGAAGAAGGCCUUCGGGUUGUAAAGCCCUUUUGUUGGGAAAGAAAAGCAGCAGGUUAAUACCCCGCUGUUCUGACGGUACCCAAAGAAUAAGCACCGGCUAACUUCGUG
Molecule: ribosomal RNA, 492 nt
Filed under: uncultured bacterium
Lineage: Bacteria
Description: partial 16S ribosomal RNA
Rfam family: Bacterial small subunit ribosomal RNA
Source: RNAcentral